GCGAAUACCCCUUCAGAUACAAGCUUCUAUGUGCUAUAUGACAAUGAAUUUGACUAUAUCCUGUCCGCUGAUAAAGAUUGGUGCGAAGGAACAGUAUCUGAUGUUUCGUCAGACAUGGAAUUACAUGCUGCUGACCGAAUUGAUAGAGUUAAAGAAACAGCCACUGUGUUCUAUUUGGGCGAAGAAUGAAUUUACAAAAAAAAAUAAGGUGGACAAAUAUACAUUGGAAUUAUUUCGCGUGAUUUGCAAAGAUGCAGUCUACGACGGGUACCCAAAAUUUUGCCCGAAAGCGGAGAAAUAAAACCCAUUUCCUGUAGAGUGAA
Molecule: long non-coding RNA, 323 nt
Organism: Rhipicephalus microplus (southern cattle tick)
Lineage: Eukaryota; Metazoa; Arthropoda; Arachnida; Ixodida; Ixodidae
Source: RefSeq, a predicted model, not a curated record